Molecule: transfer RNA, 86 nt
Filed under: Alphaproteobacteria bacterium
Lineage: Bacteria; Pseudomonadati; Pseudomonadota; Alphaproteobacteria
Also listed under: 2 other names
Description: tRNA-Leu
Rfam family: tRNA
About the family: Transfer RNA (tRNA) molecules are approximately 80 nucleotides in length. Their secondary structure includes four short double-helical elements and three loops (D, anti-codon, and T loops).
Source: RNAcentral
GCCCCCUUGGCGGAAUUGGUAGACGCACAGGACUUAAAAUCCUGAGCCCACAAGGCGUCCCGGUUCGAUCCCGGGAGGGGGCACCA